UUGAACGCUGGCGGAAUGCUUUACACAUGCAAGUCGAACGGUAGAGGGGGCAACCCCUUGAGAGUGGCGAACGGGUGAGUAAUAUAUCGGAACGUGCCCAGUCGUGGGGGAUAACGUAGCGAAAGUUACGCUAAUACCGCAUACGAUCUAAGGAUGAAAGCGGGGGAUCGCAAGACCUCGCGCGACUGGAGCGGCCGAUAUCAGAUUAGGUAGUUGGUAGGGUAAAGGCCUACCAAGCCAACGAUCUGUAGCUGGUCUGAGAGGACGACCAGCCACACUGGAACUGAGACACGGUCCAGACUCCUACGGGAGGCAGCAGUGGGGAAUUUUGGACAAUGGGCGAAAGCCUGAUCCAGCCAUUCCGCGUGCAGGAUGAAGGCCCUCGGGUUGUAAACUGCUUUUGUACAGAACGAAAAGGUUUCUAUUAAUACUAGGAGCUCAUGACGGUACUGUAAGAAUAAGCACCGGCUAACUACGUG
This 479-nucleotide ribosomal RNA is filed under the name uncultured bacterium. RNAcentral's name for it is "partial 16S ribosomal RNA". It matches the Rfam family "Bacterial small subunit ribosomal RNA", at positions 30 to 507 of the family's 1533-position model. The record is from RNAcentral.